UACGAAGGGGGCUAGCGUUGUUCGGAAUUACUGGGCGUAAAGGGCGCGUAGGCGGUCUGUCAAGUUAGGUGUGAAAGCCCUGGGCUCAACCCAGGAACUGCAUUUAAGACUGGCAGGCUAGAGAUCUAGAGGGGAUAGUGGAAUUCCAAGUGUAGAGGUGAAAUUCGUAGAUAUUUGGAGGAACACCAGUGGCGAAGGCGACUAUCUGGCUAGAAUCUGACGCUGAGGCGCGAUAGCGUGGGGAGCAAAC
This 250-nucleotide ribosomal RNA is filed under the name uncultured bacterium. Its description in RNAcentral is "partial 16S ribosomal RNA". It matches the Rfam family "Bacterial small subunit ribosomal RNA", at positions 524 to 773 of the family's 1533-position model. The record is from RNAcentral.